UUGAUAAGUUAUUUAUAUAAAAUGAGUCCUGUACAGUUCUUUGCUAACAUAAAAAAUUAUGUUAGCCAGCUUUACUUGGUAAGAUUGUCUUCCAACUUUAAGCAUAUAUAAAGAUACAGAAGCAUGAAACUACUCUCAAAUGAUAUCUACCAGUAACUACAAAGUGUCUUAAUAGUUUUAAAACUUGGAGCUAGUUUGUAAAGCUCUCUUAACUUAUUCUAAUCAUUUAAAGCAUAGCCUUCAGUUUGGGAACUUUUUAGGUUAAAUCAUCUAUUUUCUCCUCUUACUGUCAACCUUUUUUGUUGAGACGCUGGACUAUCAUCCUUUUGAUUCUCAGUCACCUUAAUCACAACAAGUGCCUUAUUCUUAAAGCCUGUCUUUGAAACUCUCAUCCCUAUCCAACUCAGUGAAAUCC
This 415-nucleotide long non-coding RNA is filed under the name Marmota monax (woodchuck). Lineage: Eukaryota; Metazoa; Chordata; Mammalia; Rodentia; Sciuridae. The record is from RNAcentral.